AUGCCUCGCCCUGCUUCGGCUCGCGCACGGUGCGCGCACCCACUGACCUGCGCCCACUGUCUGGCGCUCCCUAGUGAGAUGAACCCGGUACCUCAGAUGGAAAUGCAGAAAUCACCCGUCUUCUGCGUCGCUCAGGCUGGGAGCUGUAGACCGGAGCUGUUCCUAUUCAGCCAUCUUGGCUCCCAGUUGUGUCGUUUUAAAACUUUGAAUAUAUCAUCUCACUCCUUCCUGGCCCACAAGGUUUUUGCUGAGAAGUCUCCUGACAUCCUUAUGGGUCUGGAAAUAACUGGGAAAGAAAAGCCUUGUUGAAAGAAGACAUCUCCAGUUCUUGAGGCUGGGAAGUCCAAGAUCAAGAUACUGGCAGUUCUAGUAUCUGGGAAAACAUGCUGCUUCUUCAAAGACUCCAGUUUCAGAUGGCAAAAUGCAUGGAAGCUGAGAUGGACCUUCUGGAGUUUUCGAUAAACCACUGUAGCUCAGUCAGAGGUCCAAUUAUGAUGAUACCCACACAG
This 509-nucleotide long non-coding RNA is filed under the name Pan troglodytes (chimpanzee). RNAcentral's name for it is "lincRNA". The record is from RNAcentral. Lineage: Eukaryota; Metazoa; Chordata; Mammalia; Primates; Hominidae.